Molecule: ribosomal RNA, 490 nt
Filed under: uncultured bacterium
Lineage: Bacteria
Description: partial 16S ribosomal RNA
Rfam family: Bacterial small subunit ribosomal RNA
Source: RNAcentral
AUUGAACGCUGGCGGCAGGCCUAACACAUGCAAGUCGAACGGUAACAGGAAGAAGCUUGCUUCUUUGCUGACGAGUGGCGGACGGGUGAGUAAUGUCUGGGAAACUGCCUGAUGGAGGGGGAUAACUACUGGAAACGGUAGCUAAUACCGCAUAACGUCGCAAGACCAAAGAGGGGGACCUUCGGGCCUCUUGCCAUCGGAUGUGCCCAGAUGGGGUUAGCUAGUAGGUGGGGUAACGGCUCACCUAGGCGACGAUCCCUAGCUGGUCUGAGAGGAUGACCAGCCACACUGGAACUGAGACACGGUCCAGACUCCUACGGGAGGCAGCAGUGGGGAAUAUUGCACAAUGGGCGCAAGCCUGAUGCAGCCAUGCCGCGUGUAUGAAGAAGGCCUUCGGGUUGUAAAGUACUUUCAGCGGGGAGGAAGGGAGUAAAGUUAAUACCUUUGCUCAUUGACGUUACCCGCAGAAGAAGCACCGGCUAACUCCGUG